AUGGUGGGCUACUCCAUCAACGGCCUGCGCACGUCCACGCUGCCGUUCGAGGAGACCGGCACGGCCAGGUCGACGCAGAUGGUGCGCCUCGCGUUCGGCCGCGAGGAGACGACGCGCCUGCUCGAUGCGUGCAAGGAGAACGGGGUGAAGCUUUGCUCGGCCAUGGCUGCGGCGACGUUGCUGGCUGCACGGCAGUCGAAGAAGCUGGACAGUGGCCAGCAGGAGACGUACUCUGUGGCGACCCUGAUCAACUGCCGCCAGUUUCUUGAGCCAGCUUUGGACGAUCACAACGUUGGGUUCUUCUACUCUGCCAUCACCAACACCCACAAGAUACACGGAGAGGAGGGGCUAUGGGAACUGGCCAAGAGGUGCCACGAUUCCUACAUCAGCGCCAAGAACAGCAAGAAGCACCUCACCGACACCGCCGACCUCAACUUCCUCAUGUGCCGGGCCAUCGAGAACCCGCAGCUGACGACGGCGUCGGCGCUCCGGACGGCGCUCGUCUCCGUGUUCGAGGAGCCGGCCACCUACGACGGCCUGUCCGGCCUGCAGAGCAAGGCCGGCGUGGAGGAGUACGUCGGCUGCGCCACCGUGCACGGCAUCGGCCCGUCGAUCGGCGUGUUCGACUCUGUCAGGGACGGGCAGCUGGACUGCGCGUGCAUGUACCCUUCUCCUCUGCAUUCCAGGAAGCAGAUCCAGGAGAUGUUUGACAAGGUGAAGCUGAUUUUGCACGAAGGGUGCAACGCGGGUAUUGAGAAACUAUGA
This 765-nucleotide ribosomal RNA is filed under the name Triticum aestivum (bread wheat). RNAcentral's name for it is "partial small subunit ribosomal RNA". The record is from RNAcentral. Lineage: Eukaryota; Viridiplantae; Streptophyta; Magnoliopsida; Poales; Poaceae.